AGAAAUAAGAAGUGGAUCCGAGGCUACUACAACCCAGUGAUGUGGUGAAGAGCAGGGGCGGAUCUACAGCUAAGUGAGGGGGUUCAGAUGAACCCCCUGAAAAAGAAAAAAAUUCUACUUACCCCCCUAUAUAGUUUUUUUUUUGAACCCCUGAGAUUUUUCAUUUGCACCCAUAGACCCAUUGACACCUCUCUCACACACUCACAGACUCACUCAUUCUCAUCUCACGAGUCUCUCACUAGGUCAUGCCCUCACCCUCUUUCUCUCACUCUCAGUCUCUCACUAGAUUUGGCUGGCCGUCAUCACUCAUCAAGCACACAGCACGAGCACGGCUCACCACCGGCCACCAGCUCAUCACCACGCCACGCCACCACCGUCCACCCGUCCAGCCGCGCGCCUCUCUAUCUCCGUAUCUCACGAGAGGGUCACUGCUCUGCGUUGGGAAUCUGCAUUCAACUCUCAAGAGAAAUGGAUCUGUGGAAGACACAUGUGCAUUCAAGCAACUUGCAAGGUUCUGCUGCAAUUUUAAGUGCAGGAGAUGGCUAACUGGGAGGUGUCUUUGGCUAUUAUUUGUAUGUUUGAUGAUUGUUUGGGGUCCUUGGCUGGUUGGUUUUAUUAAGACAGUAGGGGACGUUGGAUUGGGUUUCUACUUGAGUGGUGAUUUGGCUUUGAUAGUUUGAUUGACUUCAAAGGAAAAGGCUUAAGACUCAUGUAUAUCAACUCUGUAACCUGAUUUAUCCACAGCGCUGGACGCCAUACAGUACAGGUCUUGGCUGUGGUUAAAAGGAAAAUUGAGAGGCUUUAAUUACUCGCAGUUUGAAUGGAUUACUAACCCCAUUGUUUGCUUGGAAUCAUGUAAAUUGGUUUAUCAGGAAGCAGGACUGGUUUGUUGGGUAUAUCAGAGCUGGCAGGAGCAUCAAAGUUGGGUGUGGCAAUUGAAAUACGUAGCUUGUGAAUUCCUGGACUUUGCUACUACAUGAUAGUAUAGGUGCUGCCUGCUGGAUUGUUGUCAUUGGACCCUAGGAAUGUUUAAUUCUAGUUUUGGAGAAUUAUCUUGAAGGGAAAGGAAUUCAGCUUGGUUUACCUAUCAGAUGCAUGUAGUGUAUAAGAGAAUUAGGACCCUUGCUGUACCUUCUUAGUGCUUUGUUCCAUCCUUUUAUUUUCUGUUUUUUCCAUUGCUUAUUCUUUUCUUGUAUUAAGGGUUAGGGUACCCCUUGUGCCUCCUAUUAAUACAAUCUUUUGGUUUACCAAAAAAAUGUAUAUCAACUCUGUAAUUGCAGUUUUAGCUAUUUUCCUUUGUUGUA
This is a long non-coding RNA of Lotus japonicus, 1304 nucleotides long. RefSeq lists it as uncharacterized. The transcript has 2 exons. NCBI's taxonomy places the organism in Eukaryota, Viridiplantae, Streptophyta, Magnoliopsida, Fabales, Fabaceae. The record is from RefSeq and is a predicted model, not a curated record.